UCGAGAAUCUUCCGCAAUGGGCGAAAGCCUGACGGAGCGACGCCGCGUGGUGGAUGAAGCACUUUGGUGCGUAAACACCUUUUAUGAGGGAGGAAGUUUAUUGACGUUACCUCAUGAAUAAGGGGCUCCCAACUCUGUGCCAGCAGGAGCGGUAAUACAGAGGCCCCGAGCAUUAUCCGGAUUCACUGGGCGUAAAGGGUGCGUAGGCGGCUAUAUUAGUCAGGUGUUAAAUCCUUGGGCUUAACCCAAGAAUCGCAUUUGAAACGGUAUAGCUAGAAGAAGUCAGAGGUAAGCAGAACUCUCGGUGUAGGGGUGAAAUCCGUUGAUAUCGAGGGGAAUACCAAAUGCGAAGGCAGCUUACUGGGACUUUCUUGACGCUGAGGCACGAAAGCGUGGGUAG
This 400-nucleotide ribosomal RNA is filed under the name uncultured bacterium. RNAcentral describes it as "bacterial SSU rRNA". It matches the Rfam family "Bacterial small subunit ribosomal RNA", at positions 355 to 768 of the family's 1533-position model. The record is from RNAcentral.